This 639-nucleotide ribosomal RNA is filed under the name Streptococcus gordonii. Its description in RNAcentral is "bacterial SSU rRNA". It matches the Rfam family "Bacterial small subunit ribosomal RNA", at positions 774 to 1413 of the family's 1533-position model. Lineage: Bacteria; Bacillati; Bacillota; Bacilli; Lactobacillales; Streptococcaceae. The record is from RNAcentral.
AGGAUUAGAUACCCUGGUAGUCCACGCCGUAAACGAUGAGUGCUAGGUGUUAGGCCCUUUCCGGGGCUUAGUGCCGCAGCUAACGCAUUAAGCACUCCGCCUGGGGAGUACGACCGCAAGGUUGAAACUCAAAGGAAUUGACGGGGGCCCGCACAAGCGGUGGAGCAUGUGGUUUAAUUCGAAGCAACGCGAAGAACCUUACCAGGUCUUGACAUCCCGAUGCCCGCUCUAGAGAUAGAGUUUUACUUCGGUACAUCGGUGACAGGUGGUGCAUGGUUGUCGUCAGCUCGUGUCGUGAGAUGUUGGGUUAAGUCCCGCAACGAGCGCAACCCUUAUUGUUAGUUGCCAUCAUUCAGUUGGGCACUCUAGCGAGACUGCCGGUAAUAAACCGGAGGAAGGUGGGGAUGACGUCAAAUCAUCAUGCCCCUUAUGACCUGGGCUACACACGUGCUACAAUGGCUGGUACAACGAGUCGCAAGUCGGUGACGGCAAGCUAAUCUCUUAAAGCCAGUCUCAGUUCGGAUUGUAGGCUGCAACUCGCCUACAUGAAGUCGGAAUCGCUAGUAAUCGCGGAUCAGCACGCCGCGGUGAAUACGUUCCCGGGCCUUGUACACACCGCCCGUCACACCACGAGAGUUU